UCAGGACGAACGCUGGCGGCGCGCUUAUACAUGCAAGUCGAACGAGAAGCCAGAGCUUGCUCUGGUGGAAAGUGGCGAACGGGUGAGUAACACGUGAGAAACCUGCCCCAAAGACUGGGAUAAGCCGAGGAAACUUGGUCUAAUACCGGAUACCUUCUUUUAUCACAUGUUAAAAAGAAGAAAUGCUCCGGCGCUUUGGGAUGGUCUCGCGACCUAUCAGCUUGUUAGUGAGGUAAAAGCUCACCAAGGCAUCGACGGGUAGCUGGUCUGAGAGGAUGUCCAGCCACAUUGGGACUGAGAUACGGCCCAAACUCCUACGGGAGGCAGCAAUAGGGAAUCUUGCACAAUGAGGGAAACCUUGAUGCAGCGACGCCGCGUGCGGGACGAAGGCCCUAGGGUUGUAAACCGCUUUCAGUAGGGACGAAAGUGACGGUACCUACAGAAGAAGCCCCGGCCAACUAUGUG
Molecule: ribosomal RNA, 465 nt
Filed under: uncultured bacterium
Lineage: Bacteria
Description: bacterial SSU rRNA
Rfam family: Bacterial small subunit ribosomal RNA
Source: RNAcentral